UACGGAGGAUACAAGCGUUAUCCGGAUUUAUUGGGUUUAAAGGGUGCGCAGGCGGACCGCUAAGUCAGGGGUGAAAAGUUCGUGCUUAACAUGAAUCGUGCCUUUGAUACUGGCGGACUAGAGUGCGAUAGGCGUGGCCGGAAUGUGAUGUGUAGCGGUGAAAUGCUUAGAUAUGUCACAGAACACCGAUCGAGAAGUCAGGUCACGAGUUCGCAACUGACGCUCAUGCACGAAAGCGUGGGGAU
RNAcentral lists this ribosomal RNA (245 nucleotides) under uncultured Bacteroidota bacterium. RNAcentral's name for it is "uncultured Bacteroidetes bacterium partial 16S ribosomal RNA". It matches the Rfam family "Bacterial small subunit ribosomal RNA", at positions 524 to 768 of the family's 1533-position model. Lineage: Bacteria; Pseudomonadati; Bacteroidota. The record is from RNAcentral.